RNAcentral lists this ribosomal RNA (610 nucleotides) under Cyclophora tenuis. RNAcentral's name for it is "partial Bacterial large subunit ribosomal RNA". It matches the Rfam family "Bacterial large subunit ribosomal RNA", at positions 510 to 1123 of the family's 2925-position model. The record is from RNAcentral. Lineage: Eukaryota; Bacillariophyta; Fragilariophyceae; Cyclophorales; Cyclophoraceae.
AAAGGUGAAAAGCACCCCGACGAGGGGAGUGAAAGAGACCUGAAACCGAAUGCUUACAAGCAGUUGGAGCCCCAUAUGGGGUGACAGCGUACCUCUUGCAUAAUGGGUCAGUGACUUAAUUUAUCGAGCAAGCUUAAGCCGUUAGGUGUAGGCGCAGCGAAAGCGAGUCUGAAUAGGGCGAUGAGUUCGUUGGAUUAGACCCGAAACCGAGUGAUCUAGCCAUGGCCAGGUUGAAGGUGCGGUAACACGCACUGGAGGACCGAACCCACGCCUGUUGAAAAAGUCGGGGAUGAGCUGUGGCUAGGGGUGAAAGGCCAAUCAAACUCGGAAAUAGCUGGUUCUCCGCGAAAUCUAUUUAGGUAGAGCGUCUCAUGAAUACCAUCGGGGGUAGAGCACUGGAUGGGCUAUGGGGGCUUACCGCCUUACUGAUCCUAACCAAACUCCGAAUACCGAGAAGUACUAUCCGGCAGACACACAGUGGGUGCUAACGUCCAUUGUGGAGAGGGAAACAACCCUGACCGCCAGUUAAGGUCCCUAAGUUAUGGCUAAGUGGGAAAGGAUGUAGGACUCCCAAAACAACCAGGAUGUUGGCUUAGAAGCAGCCAUCAUU